AGAGUUUGAUCCUGGCUCAGGAUGAACGCUGGCGGCGUGCCUAACACAUGCAAGUCGAACGAAGAGGCCCCUUCGGGGGUACUUCAGUGGCGGACGGGUGAGUAACACGUAGGUGACCUGCCCCGAAGCAGGGGAUAACGGCUCGAAAGGGCCGCUAAUACCCAAAAGGGUCGCGUGUCAAAGCGCGAUCAGAGUUACGGCGUUUCGGGAGGGGCCUGCGGCCCAUCAGCUAGUUGGUAGGGUAAUGGCCUACCAAGGCGACGACGGGUAGGGGACCUGAGAGGGUGACCCCCCACAUUGGCACUGACACACGGGCCAAACUCCUACGGGAGGCAGCAGUGAGGAAUAUUGCGCAAUGAGCGAAAGCUAGACGCAGCAACGCCGCGUGGACGAUGAAGGCCUUCGGGUCGUAAAGUCCUUUUUAGGGGGACGAGAGAGGACGGUACCUCUAGAAUAAGUCACGGCUAACUACAUGCCAGCAGCCGCGGUAAAACGUAGGUGGCAAGCGUUAUCCGGAUUCACUGGGCGUAAAGCGCCUGCAGGCGGUCCUGUAAGUGGGACGUGAAAUCUCUUGGCUUAACUGAGAGAGGUCGUUCCAUACUGCGGGACUGGAGGGCAGAAGAGGGAAGCGGAAUUCCCGGUGUAGUGGUGAAAUGCGUAGAUAUCGGGAGGAACACCAGUGGCGAAGGCGGCUUCCUGGCCUGCUCCUGACGCUAAGAGGCGAAAGCUAGGGGAGCGAACGGGAUUAGAAACCCCGGUAGUCCUAGCCGUAAACGAUGGAUACUAGGUGUCGGUGGUCCUAACCCCAUCGGUGCCGAAGCUAACGCGUUAAGUAUCCCGCCUGGGGACUACGGCCGCAAGGUUAAAACUCAAAGGAAUUGACGG
Molecule: ribosomal RNA, 885 nt
Filed under: uncultured bacterium
Lineage: Bacteria
Description: bacterial SSU rRNA
Rfam family: Bacterial small subunit ribosomal RNA
Source: RNAcentral